Molecule: ribosomal RNA, 400 nt
Filed under: uncultured bacterium
Lineage: Bacteria
Description: bacterial SSU rRNA
Rfam family: Bacterial small subunit ribosomal RNA
Source: RNAcentral
UGAGGAAUUUUCCGCAAUGGGCGCAAGCCUGACGGAGCGACGCCGCGUGAGGGAUGAAGGCUUUCGGGUUGUAAACCUCUUUUGUGGGGGAAAAAGGUUUCAAUGCUCAUACCAUUGAGACUUGAUGGUACUCCAUGAAUAAGCCCCGGCUAACUACGUGCCAGCAGCCGCGGUAAUACGUAGGGGGCGAGCGUUGUCCGGAGUUACUGGGCGUAAAGGGCGUGCAGGCGGUUGGAUAAGUCUGGCGUGAAAUCCCAUGGCUCAACCAUGGAAUUGCGCUGGAAACUGUCUGACUGGAGUUCGGUAGGGGUGACUGGAAUCCCCGGUGUAACGGUGAAAUGUAUAGAUAUCGGGGGGAACACCUGUGGCGAAGGCGGGUCACUGGGCCGCAACUGACGCU